UACGUAGGGGGCAAGCGUUGUCCGGAAUCAUUGGGCGUAAAGCGCGUGUAGGCGGCUAGAUAAGUCUGCUUUGAAAGCCCGGGGCUCAACCCCGGGAGGCGGGUGGAUACUGUCUAGCUCGAGUCCGGAAGAGGAGUGUGGAAUUCCUGGUGUAGCGGUGAAAUGCGCAGAUAUCAGGAGGAACACCAAUGGCGAAGGCAGCACUCUGGGACGUGACUGACGCUGAGACGCGAAAGCGUGGGGAGCAAACAGG
Molecule: ribosomal RNA, 253 nt
Filed under: uncultured bacterium
Lineage: Bacteria
Description: partial 16S ribosomal RNA
Rfam family: Bacterial small subunit ribosomal RNA
Source: RNAcentral